Magnolia sinica is the source of this 558-nucleotide long non-coding RNA. RefSeq lists it as uncharacterized. Lineage: Eukaryota; Viridiplantae; Streptophyta; Magnoliopsida; Magnoliales; Magnoliaceae. The record is from RefSeq and is a predicted model, not a curated record. The transcript is spliced from 2 exons.
UCUGCUUUCUCCAAGAGGUAAAAUCCCUUAUCUCAGCCCUUGAUUUCUCCAUUCCGCAACCUAUCCUCUCAAUCUUACAUCAAAUCCAUCCGUCCGUUUAUCUAUUUUCUACGGAUCUAUCUCUUCCCGCAAAAUGUCUGUUAGCGAACAAGCCUGCACCUACGCCUGCUUACUUCUACAUGAGGAUGGCAUUUCCAUCACGGCCGAUAAGAUCUCCGCCGUUAUGAGCGCGGCUGGUAUCGAGUUCGAGUCCUACUGGCCAGGCCUCUUUGCUAAGCUCGUGCAGAAGAGAAGUGUUGAGGAUGUCAUCUCCAACGUUGGAUCUGGUUCCCAUUAAAAUUUAACUAGCACUUUCAGCAACAUACAGUAGUCAUAAGGACUGCCUUCUCCAACAAUGGGGAGAUUGGGGCAUAAAGAAAUAAAAGAAAUCUGAUUUUUUAUUAUUUAGAUUUUUGUUCAUUUUUCAAAAUUUUAGUAAAUUUUAUUUAACAUUAGACAUGGAAUGAUAUAUAUAUUUUUUUAAUUAUUAAAUGUCAGACAGAGUGCUGGUACUGAGAA